Molecule: non-coding RNA, 125 nt
Organism: Hydra vulgaris (swiftwater hydra)
Lineage: Eukaryota; Metazoa; Cnidaria; Hydrozoa; Anthoathecata; Hydridae
Source: RefSeq, a predicted model, not a curated record
UGGAGACUCAACCAAAAACUUUAACUAAUUCAGAUAUGUCUGAGGAAAUCAUUAUUAAAGACUUAAUAUUUACGUUGUUAUCAAAGAAUGUCGUUGAGGAUGUUGCUGAGCUAAGCGAAGAAUUA